UAUUGCUAUUUUCGUUUAUUUUAUUAGUUACUGGAUUUCUUUUUAGUAUCAGCCCAUUUUGAUAAAUUUGAAGCAUGGGUUCCUCCCAGUGUGAUCUGGCGGGUAAAGUGCGCUUCUUUUGCAUCUGGACAAUGGUUACUGCAGUAAUAUUUGGUCUCCUUUGUGGUCUCAUCUUGAGCAGAUAAUGAGCAUAUUCUAUGCAAAAGAAUUAAGGCGUGUUUUUGUGGCAACACUUGUCUUACUCGUACUUAACUGUGUUCACUUACUCGCUGGUGUAGUAAUGUUCGUUGGAUUUGUUAAAGAUAUAUCCUGGAUGUUUCUGGCUGGGCUUGUACUUACCUCAAUUUGUCCAUACUUUGAGUUUUUUCUCUUGAUUCCCACAGCUAUUCAGAUUUUGUAUACUUUUUACUCGUGCCUAUAUUAUAAGCAAAUGAGACGAGAAAAUAAAUAGAUUAAAUUCUAACGUAUAGCGAUCACUUACGAUGUGAUAGAUCUCGAUGGGACCAUUUUAAUAAGAAAGUUUCGGAAUAAACAAGAAAAGCUUUUUUUUUAAUUGUAUUCAUCGUGA
RNAcentral lists this unclassified non-coding RNA (568 nucleotides) under Drosophila mojavensis. RNAcentral's name for it is "GI26652". The record is from RNAcentral. Lineage: Eukaryota; Metazoa; Arthropoda; Insecta; Diptera; Drosophilidae.